Molecule: non-coding RNA, 2246 nt
Organism: Amborella trichopoda
Lineage: Eukaryota; Viridiplantae; Streptophyta; Magnoliopsida; Amborellales; Amborellaceae
Source: RefSeq, a predicted model, not a curated record
UAUACAAACAACCCCACAAAAUAAGUUUCUAUAGGACUAAGGUUUUAUGAAAACAAAAUAAAGCUUCAUUUCAAUUCCUCAUCCAAAAAAGCACUUUGAGCAACAUGAAUCUCUAUGAGCGCUUUAAAAUCAAUUUCUAAAUGCGACAACAAAAUUUUAUACUAAAGAAAUGGUACAGAGAUCUUGUGAACACUUAUUUUUGAAGUAAUUUAUUAUAAUAUAUAUUAGUUUUAGAGAUUGAAAUUGAAAUCCUAAUCGUUUUCUGAGCUAAAAAAUGGCGUACUUUAUUCAGGCAAAGAGGAGCUAAUGCCAUCAAUAGAACAAGAGUUUCGUGUCUCAGAGUCUUCAUUCCUCUGCAAGUGUAACUUUGUCUCGUGCCCUUCAAUGGAUGCGUGGUAUGGUUUCAAUGGAUGGGUGGUAUGUUUGGGCUUCCCAAAGUCCAAGCAUUUACUGGAGAUCGAUGAGUUCUCUUGGCUAACGGCUGGAAGGAAUUCUAGGGUUUUCAAGUUUCCAGGUUUCAACCGCUGGAAAGAUGAGGUCAUCGACGCAUUAGUGAACAACAUCAAUUCACAAGCUUCAACUGUGAGGAAAAUAGAGGAAGCGAUUAAUUUAUUACAGGCGAUGUACCAAGAUGGCGUGGAACCCAAUAUUAUUACAUAUAAUUCUCUUCUAAAUGGUUUGUGUAAGGAUGGGAAAAUAGAGGAAGCAAUCAAAUUAUUUGAGCUGAUGUAUCAAGGUUCGAUGGAACCCGAUGUUAUUAUAUAUAAUGCUCUUCUGAAUGGCCUUUGCAGAAAAGGUUUAGUGGAUGAAGGAAGAAAAAGAGCAGGCUUCUACAACAAAAUGAUUUGUUGGUGAUAUGGGUGAUAGUUAUUAUUUGUUGCAUUAUGGAAUCACAUGGCUGAUUAAGAAAAUAAUUUGACCCUUCUUUAGUCAAAAUCAUUUAACACUAGUGUAAAAUUUGCGUGAUUUUAAUUUCGUUGAUCAUAUAAAGCAUUGUACAGAUUGUAUUUUACAGAUUGUAUCCUUUAAGAUAUAGAAAUGAUUGAAAAGGUAAUGAACAUCUCAUAUAAUUCUAUAGCAGCAUCAAAAAAAAAAUCUCACAAUUUUUUUUAUAUAUAUCUUCUAUGUUUAUGACAGCAUAUUGAAAAUAUGACUUAAUGUUGUUGACACCUUUGACUUUACUAAAUAUCAUCACAGGAGAAUUUGUUUACAUAAAUUAAUGAUAAGAAAGACUUGUUAAUUUACUCAAUAAAUGUAAAUAUUUUGAAAAGUGAUUUGAUGAUGGGGGAAAGCAUGGUAAUUGGAAUUGUAGGUUGCUCAUUGGCAAAGUGAAAAUCUAUUCCAGUGUGUUUUAUUUAUUUAUGAAAUUCAUGGUUAAAAAAAUCCAAAUGGAUCUCAGGUCUCAAAUUGUCACACCAAAGAAGCAUCUGUUUAAUUUCACGCCCCUGUCCGGUUGAGGGGCUGGAAUUCUUGCCUCACUAGAAAAUUGAGGAUAUCUGAGCAUCUUGGUUGUGUUGAGGUCGAGCCCAUGCCUUGUGCAAUAUUUAUUGGAAAUUGGGACAUUCCCAGUGUCUUGCUUAUGUGCACCGUGUAGAAACAAUAUCAUGUUUCCUAUUUGAUAGGGGAUUGAUCUUCAUUCUAUUCUUUUUUGAAGGAUCUUGUAUUUUCAUAGAGCAGAUGUUCCUCAAUUUUAGUGGGGAUCAGUCUUGUCAAGUUUCUACACCGAGUUUUAUUGUUGGAGGGUGGAACUGCUCAUUACUUAUUCCUCCAAUCUCAUGCUACGGAGUACGGAUUUCCAUGCCCCUGAGGUAUUGGUUGCCAACCGAACAAGAUGGUAGCCAAGUAGAGGAAUUGAGCCGAUUUUUGUGGUGGAAGACAUCCUGCCAAAGGUGGUUUUCUUGAGUGGCCUGGAGCCACCACCAUUUUCCUAGGGGGUUAUAUUGUUUCUUUUGAGGACAUGGGUUAGGCAAGCGAACUCCCAGGAGAUAAGAUGGUUCUUGCGGCUUUCCCCUUCGCCCGACCAUUGGAAAUUCCUCAUCAGCUAUUUGAGGUGGUUGGAAUAAAGACAUUUGGAAGAUGGGGACAUUGGAGAGGUUUGCUUUGAUUAGGCAAGCAAACUCUGUAUCCCCCAUCAAACUAAGAUACAUGCCUUUGUAGCCUAUUCUGUCGUUUUAAUCAUGAAAUACUUCUUCUUUUUUUAAAAAAAAUUAUCAACAGUAUUUAAUGAAAUAAUGUUUGCCAACCCA